RNAcentral lists this long non-coding RNA (20389 nucleotides) under Arabidopsis lyrata. RNAcentral's name for it is "long non-coding RNA (ALYR_LNC003346)". The record is from RNAcentral. Lineage: Eukaryota; Viridiplantae; Streptophyta; Magnoliopsida; Brassicales; Brassicaceae.
UUAAUACUCUCUAAUUUAUCAACAUUUUUUCGAUGCAUAGUGCAGAUCAAGAACUAGUACAAUGAUAUAUCAAGCAAUUUUAAUCGCAAAGCCUAAGAAGCACUUACUGAUUGCAUAAAUCUAUAUGAACCAAAUUCACAGUGUAAGAGAGAACAAACCAUGACAAGCUUUUCAAACAACUGAAAGUAAAUAUUAUAAUCGAAUGGCCUUCUUUUUCUCGGACUCAUCAUUCAUCGUCACCACCAUCAUCAGUUUUACCGCUCAUCAGAUUUGGCUUAUUCUUAGCUUUCUCCGCUUUAGACAGAGACUCGUUAGCCUCGAGCGUAAAUAAAAUCUUCUAGUUAGAUGGGAUGGUGAAAAUGACAAAUAUUUUUUUUGUUUCUUUUUUAUAUUUUCUUCUGUUUGCAUUAAUUUGUUUUUAAUUGGAUUUUGAAUAGAGCUUGGAGAUCUUAUAAAGAUAAUAUGAAUAUAAUUAAUGUCUAAUAGCAUAUUUUAUAUUACUAUUUUAAAAUAUUAAUUUUCAUUACUUUUUCCCCAAUUGAAUCAAACUUUUAUUGUUUGAUUGGAAAGGGUUACAUUUGUUCAAAAAAAAAAAGAUUGGAAAGGGUUACAUUUUAAUUUUAUAACUGGUCAACAUUAAAUUUUGAAAUAAUAAAUUUCGAUUUUCAUAAAAGUUGUUUUUCUAUCAAUAUUUUCUUAUAUCCAUCUUGGUCAAUAUCAAGAUGAAUAUUGACCAAAAAAUCUUUUAAGAAAAUAUAAAUUUAUUAUUAUAAUUUUAAGUUUACCACGUAAAAAAUUAAAAAAAUAACCAUUUCUAAUUAAGCAAUUACAAAUUGAUUAAAUUUAGAGAAAAAUAAUCAUAAAAUCUAAUUUUUUUUAAAAAAAGAUAUGCUACUAGGAAUUAAUGGUAUUCAUGUUAUCUUUCUAUGAUUUUCAGCUCUAUUCAUAAACCAAUUUAAGAAAAAAAAUCAAGUACAUAGUGAGAAAGUAUAAAAAAGAAACAAAAAUGUAUUUGUCAUUUGUCACAAUCCUAUCUAAUUAGGAGAUUUUUCUCAUUUACUUUCAAGUCUUAUUUUAAUUAUUGUUUUCUUUAAUUUGUUUGAAUUUUUAGAGACUCUUCCCAAAACAAUUUCAAGACUUCCUCUCUUAUAAACAACCCAACAAACUUAGUUGUUUUGGCAUAUUUAUAUACAAAGCUUUAAGUCGUGUCUAUAACAACAUGGACUUAACAAAACUUUGAAUAUCCUACACAAAAAAAUUCAAAUCCGCCAGAAACCAUCAAAUCGAUAAACGGUGUUACUUUCCGUUAGUAGAUGUUGACUAGGAUGCCACAUUUUCAGUCUAAAAUGCCACGUGGAGUCAUGAUGCGAUGUGGUUUCAUAAGAAAACGGUCUAUUUCCCCAUAAACUUAGUUGUUCUAGCAUAUUUAUACACACAAGUUAGAAUCAUGCCUAAAACUACAUGAACUUAGCUAUAUUUUGAAAUUAUUACAAGAACAAUUUAAAUCCGGCGAAAACCAUCAAAUCGGCAACCAAUGUUAUUGUUCCGGUAACAAAUGUUGAUUAAGAUUAUGUGUUUGCACGUGGAGCCACAAAACAACAUUGUUUCAUUUACUUAUUUAUUUCUAAAAAUAAAUAAUUUCUUAUUACGAGUAAAAUUUAUAGUAAAACUUUUAUCCAUCAUAUAAACCACAAGUGCACAUGCAAGCACAAUAGUAUUUAGGAAUCGAAUCCACAUAGACCAAAUAACCACACAAUUGACUAUAUAGUUUCAUAUUUAGCUAGAACAUAAUAGGAGUUAUAAGAGACAAAGCCUUAAAGGUUCAAAAGCUUUCUCUUUAAGAGACAUAAGAAUCAUUCAUCAAAUUAAAAACAAACUCAAGAGAUAAACAAGACUUACACGAUCUACAACAUCUUCUCCACUUCCCAUUUUUCAAGGUUCAAUUUUGAUUUUCUUUUCUUCUCGAAUUUUGAUAGGUGUUUAGGUUGUUUAUAAAGUGGAGGAGGAUAAUGGAGCUUAUCUCUAUAUGGAUAUAUUUGCUUCACUAAACUAAUCAUCUAUUGGUUUCUACUGAAACAAUGAUAUUUAAGUGGUAAAAAAACAUGCUUAAAUAUCAUUUUCAUUUUCAAAGUAGAAAUGAAUAUACAUCAUUUUCAUUGUUACUACUAGAAAAAUGAUAUUUAAAUAGUAAAAAAACUUGCUUAAAUAUCAUUGUUCCAGUAGUAACCAAUAGCUGAUUAGUUUAGUGAAAAAAAACUUAUCUAUUUAGAGAUAAGCUCCAUUAUCCUCUUCCACCUUAUAAACAACUUAAAGACCUAUCAAGAUUCCAGAAGAAAAUAAACUCAAAAUUGAACCUUGAGGAAUGGGAAGUGGAGAAGAUGUUGAUCGUGUAAGUCUUGUUUAUCCCUUGAGUUUGUUUUCAGUGAAUGAUUCUUUUGUCUUUUUGAUAGAAAGAUUUUCAACCUUUAAGGUUUUGUCUCUUGUACCUCUUUUUAUGUUCUAGCUAAUCUCUAAAUGGAGGAUUAAACCUUAAAGAUUAAACAACCUUUAAGGUUGUUUAUAAAGUGGAGGAGGAUAAUGGAGCUUAUCUCUAAAUGGAUAUAUUUGUUUCACUAAACUAAUCAUCUAUUGGUUUCUACUGAAACAAUGAUAUUUAAGCAAGUUUUUUUACUAUUUAAAUAUCAUUUUUCUAGUAGUAAGAAUGAAAAUGAUUUAUAUUCAUUUCUACUUUGAAAAUGAAAAUGAUAUUUAAGCAUGUUUAGGAUGAUCUUGAAGCCUAAAUACAUGAUCUUGAAGCCUUCAUCUGGUUCUUCAGGAUUGUCAUCGGAGUUGUCAAGAUGGCAAACUCAAGAUCGGCGAUGAGCAACUGACGGUGUUCCGGUGGUUUUCGCAUCUGCAACAUGAACCUAGGUCUAGAAUCAAACACGUGUAUGUCUUACGUGUCAUUUCCUUAUGUUUUUGGGUUCAUUUAAUAUUUGGGCUUCAAAGGCUUUUGUAUCACUCGUCUUCUUGUAAGUUGUCCUUUGGGCUUUCUAGUAAAAGCUUUGGUCAACAAAAAAAAAAAAUCUACUGAUUGCACAAAUCUAUAAAAGCUAAAUGCAAAGUGUGUGUGAGAGAGAACGAACUCUGACUACUUUUUCAGAUAACCAAAAGCAAAAAUUAUAUCAAAAUUUUCUCGAACUGCAACUGAAACAUCAUCAUCGAUGAUGCCCUUUUCUCUUGGAAUCAUCAUCAUCGCCACCACCAUCAUCGGCUUAACCGCUUAUCAAAUUCUGCUUCUUCUUAACUUUCUGAGCUUUAGCCAAAGACUCAUCAUCCUCAAUCGCAAAUGAAAUCUUUAUAACUAAAUAAGGUAGUGACUCAUAUGACAAAUACAUUUUUGUUUCCUUUUAUAUUUUCUUCUGCUUGUAUUGAUUUUUUUUUUUCUUUUGGGUUUUGAAUAUAGCUGAAAAUCUUAAAAUGAUAAAAUGAAUACAAUCAAUGUCCAAUAACAUAAUUAAAAACCAAUAGCUACUGGGAUCAAUGAUAUUCAUGUUAUAUUUCUAAUAUUUCCAGCUCUAUUUAAAAACCAAUUUAAGAAGAAAAAAGAUAAAGUACAAAGACAAGAAGAAAAAAAAGAAACAAAAACAUUUGCCAUUUGUCACAAUCCUACUAAAGACUGUGACAAAUGGCAAAUGUUUUUGAGUUUUGUUCAAGCCUUAUAGCAGCGAGCCGUGUAACUGAGGCUGAUGAAAGUCUAUCUGAAGCGAAGAAUGCUAAAAAGAAGCAAAAUCUGAUGAGCGGCAAAGCUGAUAAUGAUACGGGAGAUGAAGACGAUUGCUUAAAGAAAAAUAAGGGAGUCGAGGAUGAUGUUGUAGCUUCAGUUCGAGAAACCCUUGUUUGUAACAUCUGCUUCUGUAUGUCUGAGAAACCAGUCACGGUAGUUCAUUCACUCUCCGGGUCCGGCUUUUAUAGAUUUGUGCAAUCAAUAGAUUAUAUAAGUGUUUCUUAUGCUUUUUGAUUUUGUUAAUGCUUGUUGAAUCUUGUUAUUGGUUUUGGUUGGUUACUAUAUUGUUCACUUUAUUUAAUUAAGCUGCCUAAUAACUACACAUACGUGUUAGUGGCAUUAUAUUACUUGGAAGUCAAGGUAUGGAGCUCAGUCAAUAGCACUCUCUAGAAGGUUGGAUUUGCAUUCCUCAUAGCCUUUGGUGCAAUUGAUUACUCUUUUUUUUUUUUUUUUUUUUUCUUAAUCAAUAACUCCUUGGAAAUGUUUCGUUAUGAAUCGUGAAAUAUUUAUUACUAUUGAGUUUUGCCAUUGCUUAUAGAAUUAGCCUUGCUCUAGUUUCUUGGUAGACUUCCUCUCUUUUUGCCUUCAAUAUGUGUUAACGUAUCUUGCAGUGGGGGAAGAGAUCUCAGUGGCAACAAAAGAACUUUUCGCCAGCCGAUCUCAAUCCUGAAAACCCCAUCCUAUCUCACUAGUUCUUUUCUAGUUUUAUCUUUAUUCAUUCAUAUAUUCUGCAUAUGCUCCUGACUCCUCCGAAGAAGCUAGUGAGAGAUACGAUGGGGUUUACAGAAUUGAGAAGUGCUGGCGGAAAGUUCAGAUGUAGCUAAUGUUCUAAAUUGUUCACCUAAUAUCCUAGUGCUUGAGAAGGCCACUGACCUGUUUGUGAAAACAGAAAGUCCAUCAUGGGAUUUUGAUAUGUUAGUACAUGCUCUCUUUCUUCUCCUUCAUGGCAUGAUAUAUCACUUGGUUCCUGCUGAGGGUCGUUGGAAGUGGAUCAAGUCUCAGCCUGCUAGCAGAAAGUCUGUUGAAGCUUUGUGUCCUUUGGAAAGGAAGAGGAUAAGGAAAGCCACAAAGGCGACUCGAAAUAGUAUCGGAAGCUGAAGAAGCACCAAGCAAAAGGAUGAAAGUGAACAUAUUGACAGUAGCAGCAGCCACUGCAACUGUGUUUUUAGACCCAGACCGGACCGGGUGGUUUGACCAUUGAACCGUGACCUGGUAGUAUCUCCGGUUCGGGUUUCAUGCAAAACUCGACAUAUAAUUGAACUGUAAUCUACUAUACAUUUUUGCAGCAGUUUUUGGGUACCCAAAUCGGGUCAAAAUUUUGACCCGGAAUUAAUUGUUUUUAGACCCGAUUAGGAGAAUCUCGGAUCUUGCCUAAUUUAAUUGUUUGCUCCGAUUUUGAGUCACCAAAUCUUUCCUUAGUUGCUGCGACCUACAUUCAUGGCAAAAAUGAUUAAGUUUCUCAAUUCAAUCUCAGUUAAAGAUACACAAAAUAUUUGCAGUUACACCAAUAAAGAAGCAAACAUUCAUAGCAUAUCUAAUCUUCCCUAUUAAAACGCAAUAGUAACUACUCCAUUUAUCAUUUCUUUCUAUCAACUAAAGCAAUCAUCGAAUGAUCUUAUUGAGAUGGAAAAUAGUUAAUAGAGAAGAGAUUUCAUCUAUAUUCUCGCUUCAAUAAACCUAGCAUAUUCUCUUUUAUUCCAAUAAUUAAGAUCACGCAAUAUAUUUAAUCCUUGAUCAUCAAGGAUUUUAUAAUAUUCGCCUAAACCUAAUGGAACCUACUAAUUCAAACUAUAUAAAUAGCCGCUCAUUUCCAUCGUCUCUAUUCACACACUCUCUCAUUUCCCAAUAGCAAUAUAUCAGAUAAUAAAAUUUUCUUUAUUUACCUUCACCAAUGGCUUCCCAAUUUGCAAUGUUAAGAGAUGUCAGACCAUACAAGACAUCUUGGCGUGUCCAGGUUAAGGUGCUCCAUUCUUGGCGCCAGUAUACCAACAACACAGGUGAAACCCUUGAGUUGGUCCUCGCUGAUUCACAGGUAAAACAACAAUAUAUCAGAGAGUAGCAUUUUAUAUUUCUAUACAUGAGCAACAUCUAAAAACCUAACUCUAAUUCUACUUCAUUAUUAAAACAGGGUGUCAAGAUUCAUGCUUCUGUGAAGAAGGAUUUGGUUGCUAAAUAUGUUAACAGCCUACAAGUGAAUGAGUGGAAGUUCAUUGAACAUUUUACACUUACUCAUGCAGCAGGGCAAUUCAGACCAACCGGUCAUCUAUACAAGAUGUCCUUUGUGAAUGGCACUACUGUGACACGGUCUGACAUUGUCUCUGAUUCAAGCUACUUAACUCUGGCAAGGUUUAGCAGAAUACAGAAUGGCGAUUUAAAUCCUUACAUGUUGAUUGGUAUGUAAUGCUCUAAAAUAUACAUUCUCAUGUCUUAAAUCAAUUCUGUUAAUUUAUGUAUAUACUAAAUGUACUGUUGUGAACCAAAUAUAGAUGUCAUGGGUCAAGUGGUGAAUAUUGGUGAGCUAGAGGUCCUUGAAGCUAAUAACAAGCCAACCACUAAGCUUGACUUUGAGUUGCGUGAUGAACAGUGAGUGAUCUGAUAUGGUUGUUUUAUUAUUAAGUAACCUGAGAACUUAUAGAAUGAGAUUUGAUAUGAUCUAAUAUUUGAUUACAUGUUUUCUACUGCAGUGAUGAUAGGAUGUCAUGCACACUCUGGGGGGCAUUUGCUGAAAAAAUGUUUCAAGCAUGCCAAGCAGCUGAUGGAAUCAUGGUGAUCUGUGUUAUCAGAUUUGCAAAGAUUAAGGCAUACAAAGGUAAAUUACUAUUUCUACCUAAGAUUUUGUAAUGAAUAAAGUUUUAUUUGACAAUUGUUCCUGUUUUCUUUCUAGGUGUUAGGAGUCUCUCUAAUUCCUUUGAUGCCUCACAAGUUCACAUCAAUCCACCUUUCCCUGAGAUUGAAGCUUUCACCAGAGCGUAUAAGUUUAUUUUUCAAACUACUCUAAACUUAUAGUUUUAUUAUAACUGACUGAAAAUUACAUUCUUUGUUUUUUCUAUUAACAGUCUCCCCUCUGAUGGUCUAGCCUUAACUUUCCGUGAAAGUGUUCCUAAGUUCCAGAUGGUUACAGUGAAUAAGGAUGAUGAUUGUCUUCAGUUUGAAAGGAAUACAAUAUCAGAUCUUUUUAACUCAACAGAGGUUUGUAUUUGUUUGAGUUAUUCAUAUAGCAUUGUUAUCUACUUUAGUGUGUGAAAUCUCAUUAAUUACCUAUACCCUGUAGAUUGGAAAGGCUAGAGUUAUCUGCACAAUCUAUGGAAUUGAUACAGAUUGGGCUUGGUAUUACUUUAGUUGCCGUAACUGUAAUAAAAAGGUCACUCACAUUCAUUCUGGAGUGAAUACUGCUUCCAUGAAGAAACAAAAGCCAAAGUUUUGGUGUGACGUCUGCAGGAAUGAUGUCACUAAUGUUGUAGCAAAGUGAGACUUCUUUUCUUAAUCUGAUAAUAAUGCAUAUUUAUAAGUUUGUGUUUUUUCUUUGAAAUAAUUACUAAUAUGACUUCUCUUAUUGAAGGUACAUGCUAUAUGUUAAGGUGAUGGAUAACACUGGUGAAACAAAAUGUCUUUUGUUUGACAGUAUAUGCUCAAAAAUUGUUGGUGAAACUGCUGCAUCAUUGCUAGGUGGAUCAUUCAAUGAGGUAACAUUCUAUUAUGUGAAUUAUAUAUGUAAUUGAUAUAUAUGAAACAUUCAACUGAUAAGUACUAAUUUCCUUAUGUAGAUUGAGGACCCUAAUGAUUUGCCUGACGUAAUAAGGAAUUUGGUUGGCAAGACCUUUCUCUUUCUGCUAUGUGUUGAGAAAGAAAACAUUUGGGAUGGUAAGGAUUCUUUCAAGGUUUCAAGAAUCCUAAACAAAGAUGGACUCUUGCAAGAAGAUGUCCUUGAGGAAUCUGAACAAUUGGUUAAUCCUGCCUCAAUUGUUUCUGGAGAUCAGGUAACAUUUUUUAACUAUCUAAUCUCCUUAAAAUUAUAUCAACUAUCUCUCCUACUGAUAAUCUCUAUAUUCAGUGUCUCAUGUUAACAAUGAGUCAAGACACGUCUGACUCAUCUACUCCAUCUUCCAAGCGUGUUUAUGCUCCUAAUCUGUCUGAGUCAGAGCAAUCCUCCAGUUCUAAGAAGGUGUGCAUCGAGCCUAAAGACUUACAGAAGUCAGAACUAGAAUUUGAGGAGAAUGGUCUGUCUCUAAAUGGAGUUCCUAACAAGAUCUCUGAAGUUGUGAAGGUAGAGAAUGUCAAGAUUGAAAGCAACAAAGGAAAGGGUGUUCAAGACAGUGGUGAUCUUCCUGUGAAUGAGAAAAAGGAGACUAGGCAUGUGGCUAAAGCAGUUGGAAUGAAGAUCAAAAAAGAGAAAUAGUGAUCUAGCACCUGUUUGCUAAGCAAUAAGGAGUUAUCAUAAUUCCAAGUUUUUUAAAAUUUCAUUGUUAGACAUUUGUUGGUUUUUUACUUUGGUUUUUAAUUGAUGUUUCAGUUUGGUUUUUUGGUUAAUCUCCUCUAAUAAACCUGUUUCAAUUUCUGUCUACUGUACCGUUGUCUUACUCAGUUAUUGAAAUAGCAUAUUUAUUUAGUUUAAUCUAAUCAUUAGACCUCAAAACCUAAAGCAGAACCGCUAUAACAUCCUUAUGUUUGCUACACGAAAUCUCUAUUAUAAACAAUGAUGGAAAUUCUUGGAAAUCGUAAUAUGGAAAGCACAGUUUUAUAUAAUCAUUACUAUAAUAUUGAAUAAAGAUCUUUUACAGGCUAACGAUUCAGUUUCCUUGAUAUAUUAUAUCUAACUUUACUUAUCUCAAACGGUUUCAAUGAUUUACAAUAUAUAAUAUCUAUUUUAUAUAGGAAAUUAAAUCUAUUCAUUCACAUCUCUACACGAUUCUAUAAAUACUCAGACUUAACCUUUAGAUUUUUUCAGAAACCUAACCUUCUCUAUAAAAAAAAAACUGAGAAAAACUUACACUUUCUGUGAUUCUAAUGGGUACUAUUGACUACAUUUCCGAUCUCAACCUGCAAAGACCUAGAUGGACUUUGUACGUGAAGAUUUUAUCUAUCUGGAAUCAAGGUAUAGACGCUAUUGAUGAACCUACGAUUAUGAUUCUGACUGAUGAAAAGGUUAGCAAAUUUCUUCUAUUGAACCUCUGUUUCUUAAGUCACAGAUUUACUAAUUUGUUUGAAUCUUCACAGAGAAAACUUACUAUUUAGUUCUUCUUAUAUGCCUAGGCCAAUCAGAUUGAUGCAUUUAUCCCUCCUGGAAACUACUUAUACAAUUUCCGGCCAGGUCUCAAGGAGGGUCACUGGUACUACAUGGCUGACUUCCAUGUGGUACCAUCUACUCAACCUGUUAAGUACUCCUGGAAUCGUUUUGCACUAGAGUGUAUAUGGCCUACCACUAUGUGGCCUGUGUCUCCUAGAUGUAAUGGAAAUUUCUGCAACUUCAUUCAUUCUGAUGAAGUUGAGUAUGCUGGAUUAGAGGAUAAGCAACAUGUGUCAGGUUCAAGUAUAUUUAUUUAUUGAUUGAAAUUAGUAAAACUUUGCUUUAUUCUGACUUUAAUUAAGUAUAUUUGAAAUUUGUUUUCAGAUGCUAUUGGUGUGGUCUCGAGUGUCUCUGCUAUUCAAAGAUUUCCAUUUGUUUGUCGUCAAGGAGAGACAGACUAUGAAACCAGAUUUGUUGUUGUCGAAAUCAAGGAUGACAUGUAAGUUUUAUUUUAAUAGAUAUCUCAAAUUAGUAUCUAUAUUGGCGAUGUGGUAUUGAAUGCAUUGAAUCUGUGAUCAUGUAGGGGUAGGAAAACAAUCUGUGUUGCAAAGGGUAGGUCCUGUCAGGCGUUUGUGACUAAAUGGUUUAGGAAAAUAACUUCUGUGACAUACAAUUAUGACCCAGUUGUCAUUGUCCUGCGUUUUUGGAGGGUUGCUGAGUUUGAAGGUUAGUUAUUUUCCUAUAAACUAUAUAUAACUGUCAAAUACAUUAGACAAUAACUUUAACUGGUAACUAUCAACAUGUUUUAAUAGGUCAAAACUGUUUGAUGAGUGAGUAUGGUUGUUCAAGGCUUUUCCUUGAUCCAACCUUUCCUGAUUUGGACAUUCCGAGAUACAUGUAAGUAGAUACCUAUCAGAAGUUAAAUAAGUAAUCAAAUGCUAUGAUUACUGAUUGGAUUAAGUAAUGUUUCUCUUUUUUGAAACAGCCGUGGCUUUGCAGAACAACAAGAUGAUGUUCAGGAUGUUGGAAUGAAGUUGGAAGUGUGAUGAUGGGAAGCUAAGUUUGGUUCUACCAGUGGCUGCAGUUGUUUUAUUAUUACAAAAAUACUUUCUCGGUUCUCUAUUGUUUUAUGUUUAUGAAGACAAGUUUGUUUUAAGUUUCUUUUGACUAUCAACUGCUUUAUCCUUUAUUUGAAUUUAAUGUUUAUCUAAUUAAUCUACUCUAAUGGUUAUUUGUUUUAUAGUAAGUUUUAGUAUAUGAUCAAUAAAAUAUAUAAUUACUGUAUCAAAGUAAUAAUUUCAUUAGAUAAAUUAACAAGUUUUGAGAUAUUUGCUAAACUAUCAGUUUUGUUCAAUUUACCUUAUUUGAAUAGUCCAUCUUCCUUAUGUGCUAUUGAUUGUGUAUAUCAAGAAUAUUUCAUUGCUCUCUUUCCUGAUACAAAAAAUAUAGUUAGUAAUCUUAUAAUUACAACAAUAAUCACUAUAAUCACCGAAUCAAUCUUAUAGUUUGGUAUAUUCCGCAUAUUAUCUAAAGGUUCUCAUUCAUUACUUAUAGAAAAUAACAUAUCUUAGUUCCUAUAUCUUUGGCAACAGACAAUCAUUUAACAAUAAUAGUCAAUCUACAGAUAUCAAAAUGCUUUCUAUUUAGACCUUAAUCUCCUUUAUAUAGUUACCAUGUAGUCUAAUCAUCUAUAGACAUUCUUAGACUACAAUAUGAAAAAAAAACCUCUAUCUCCAACAGAAAAUAAUGUUCCUGAGUCUAAUCCACCCAAACGUAAUCGAGGAAAUGAGCCUUACACUAGACUAAGGAACAUUUCUCAGUUUAAUCUACCUAUAAUCAGGAAUGGUUCUGUCCCUCUUAGUACAGCGUUUGGUAGUGCUUUUAGAGAUAUUACUAACCUUCCAGACCCACAAGUUAGCCCCAUUGAGAACUCUGCAGAUGCUAAUACAUCUUCAUCUGCAAAACAGAACAGUAAGAAUCAAGGUUAAUUUCUAUAGACAAGUUUUCAUUUACAAUUAUUUUGUUUUCAUUCUCAUCAAAGAUAAAUAGAAAAUACCUUUAUCUCUAAAUCUUGAUGAGUUUUAAAACAGGUUCACUUCGUGGAAAAAUGUCCAAGCCUUGCUCUCCUUACACCAGACCUAACCCAUUGUUAACUCCAUCUGGAUUAAGCGCCAUGACUAAUACAAGCCAGAGUCUUUUUAGCAGAACACCUACAACUCCAAUAAUGCCUCCACCUUCUGUAACACCAAAGAGAAUAGGUGGUUAGAUUAAUUAAGUUCCACAUAUGAAUAAUUUUUGCAACAAUUAUGGUAUGAUAAUGUUUUAAAUAGAGAAGUAUAUUGUAUAAGUAAUAAGUUUAAUAUCUGUUGUAGGUGUUCAAUACACUGGAAAUCCAUCAUGUAUAACCAACCUCCAGACAUCAAGCUUUGUUUCUCAUAGAAUAAAUUUGCCAAGGAAAAACUUAGAUAUUGAUUUUACAAAUGCAGAAACCUCUUCUUCAUCUAAAGGUAACAGUCUUUACUGUAUUGUUUUUCGCUUGGAAGCAAAAUGUAAUUAAGAGGCAUGUCUUAACCUAUUUUCCUGUUUUGUAUUCUCAAGGUCAGAAUACAACUCAAGUAAUAGAUAAUGAAGAUAGUGAUUAUAGCCAAGAUGAUGAAAUGUAUGAUGAUCCUGAGUUUGGUAAUGUCAAUGAAGAUGAGACACUAGCUCAAAGCUAUGAUCUUAGUUGCAGUGAAGGUGAAGAUGAAGUAGUAGAUAACAAUGAAAUGUCAGUUUCUGACGAGGAACAGAUUGAAAUGAUGUCACACAUAACUGAAGUCUCAUCUCAUACCAAUGAUUUGGCAAGAUCAUCUAUUGAGUCUGUUCAGCAAGAAACACAUGAAGGAAAUGUGCCUCCGAAAAGAAAAAAGAAAAGAAAAUCAAAAAAGAAAAACAAACCAAUAAGUAAAUUUUCUUGCCCUUCCCAGUACUUUUUUUAUUUUUGGUAAUUCUGAAUAUGAAACUUAUGAGAAACAUAUUUAUGUUUUUCAGCUUAUCUUGAUCAUGGUGACCCUACUUACUCGUGUAAGUAUUGUGGUGCAUUGAUAUGGCAUGCUGAAAGAAUAAACAAAAAAGUUAAAACGACAGAUCCUACAUUUACACUAUGUUGUGGUCAAGGUUCUGUUAAGCUGCAUUUUCUUAAAGAGUCACCAGAAUUGAUCAAGAAAUUUAUGACUGGGAAAGAUCCUCAAAGUAGGAAUUACAUAAAGCACUUGAGAAUAUGGAAUAUGGUUUUCGCAAUGACCUCACUAGGUGGGAAAGUAGAUAAGUCUAUACCUAAGGGUAAAGGUCCAAGCAUGUUUCGUUUACAAGGAGGUAACUAUCAUUUGAUAGGCAGUUUGAAACCUGCAGAAGGUGAUUAUGCGAAGUAUUCACAACUCUAUAUAGUAGAUACUGAGAAUGAAGUAGAUAACAGAGCAACUGUUAUUGGGUUAGUAUUAUUUCUACUUAACAGGCUUAUUAAAUUCUUUUGUAUUUCUAUGUUGUGGUAUUACUCAAUCAUGGGCAUCUUUUUUUUUUUUAAUGUAGCAAGGGGAAAGAAUCAUCUAGAAGAGGAAGCAAGGAUAUACUGAACAAAGAGACAAUUGAAGCCAUUAUGAAAAUGCUCAAUGAAGUUAAUCCUUAUGUCAAGAAUUUUAGAAUUGCCAAGGAAAGAUUUGAGGUAGUUAAUCCCCAACCAUUUCAUAUGAGGAUAUGCUCUGGUCGUAAAGGUGCUGAUGGAAGGACUUACAGCAUGCCUACGACUUCGGAGGUUGCAGCGUUAAUCCCAGGAGACUUUACAGAAGGUAUGCCAAACCGUGAUAUAGUUCUUCAAGAAAGGACUACAGGCCACCUAACCAGGAUUAGCCAGAUUCAUAUUUCUUAUCUGGCUCUUCAGUAUCCUCUGAUUUUCUGCUAUGGUGAAGAUGGUUACACCCCAGGUAUAGAGAAAUGUUAUAAGGGUAAUAACCAGAAGAAGAAGAAGUGUAUUAGUAUGCGUCAGUGGUUUGCAUUUCGUAUUCAGGAGAGGCCAGGUGAGUGCCAUACUCUUCUACUGUCGAAGAGGUUGUUUCAGCAGUUUCUUUGUGACGCUUACACCACUAUUGAAUCAAAUCGUCUAUCCUACAUAAGGUUCAAUCAGUCUAAGCUUAGAUGUGAGAAUGCAAACUCACUAAAAGAAGCUGCUGACUCUGGUGUAACAAAUAUGGAAGAAGAAGGAAAUCAGAUUUUGAUUCUAGCAUCUUUUACGGGUGGUCCAAGGUAUAUGGUUCAGAGUUAUUAUGAUGCUAUGGCCAUAUGUAAACAUUAUGGUUUCCCGGAUUUAUUCAUCACGUUUACAUGUAACCCUAAGUGGCCUGAGAUAACAAGAUAUGUCACAGCAAGAGGGUUAACUGCUGAGGAUAGGCCAGACAUUGUUGCUAGGAUAUUCAAAAUCAAGUUGGAUUCUCUGAUGAACGAUCUAACAGAAAAGAAGAUGCUUGGAAAGACUGUCGCAUGUAAGUUGUCUGACUACUUCCAAUAGAAUAACAAUAAACUGAGACUAUUUCAAUAUUUUCACACUAUAUUCUAUGUUAUGCAGCUAUGUAUACUGUAGAAUUCCAGAAAAGAGGCCUUCCACAUGCUCACAUUCUUUUAUUCAUGGAUGCUAAAAGCAAACUUCCAACAGCAAGCGAUAUUGACAGGAUGAUAUCUGCUGAGAUUCCAGAUAAAGAAACAGAACCAGAGCUUUAUGAGGUUGUUAGUAAUUCAAUGAUUCAUGGCCCAUGUGGUGCAGCAAAUAUGAGUUCUCCAUGUAUGGUGGAUGGCCAGUGUUCUAAAUCGUAUCCUAAAAAAUUUGAGGAUAUCACCAAGGUAGGCGCUGAUGGUUUUCCUAUCUAUAGAAGAAGGCGCUCUGACCACUAUGUUGAGAAAUGUGGAAUUAAAUGUGAUAAUAGGUAUGUCGUUCCAUACAAUAAAAAACUAUCAGUUAGGUAUGGUGCUCACAUUAACGUUGAAUGGUGUAAUCAAACUGGGUCUAUUAAAUACUUAUUCAAGUAUAUAAAUAAAGGCCCAGAUAAGUUAGCAUUUGUUGUGGAGCCUGUCAAGCCACCACCAACAGAUAAUGGCUCACACGUAGAUCAAACAGCUAAUGGAUCAGAACCAUUACCAGAGGAGAAAAAGAAGAAUGAAAUAAAAGAUUAUUUUGAUUGCAGGUAUUGUAUCCUAAUUUUGCUCUUUCUCAGUUUAUUUCUGUGAUUGGUCAGUCUGGAUCCUGAAAUGGCUUUGUUUAUUAUUCAAAAUUGUAGAUAUGUGUCAGCAUCUGAAGCAAUUUGGAGAAUUUUUAAGUUUCCGAUACAGCAUAAAUCAACACCUGUUUUGAAGCUAUCUUUUCAUGUAAAAGGAAAGCAACCAGCUUAUUUUAAAGGAAAAGAGGUGAUAUCAGAUGUUUUGGACAGAAUUCUCAAUCGAGAUUCUCAAUUCAUGGCAUGGCUAACAUUGAAUAGGAAUGAUGGAAUUGGAAAAAAUGGAAAGCGUGCUCGAGAACUCCUAUAUGCAGAGAUACCUGCAUAUUUUACAUGGGAUGGAACUAAUAAGCUGUGGAAUAAGAGGUCUAGAGGAUGGUCCUUAGGUCGGAUUAAUUAUGUUCCCAGGAAGCUAGAAGAUGAAUAUUUUCUACGAGUCCUACUUAACAUCGUCAGAGGUCCUACAUGUUUUGAUGACAUUAAAACAUAUAAUGGUGUUGUCUAUCCAACUUACAAAGAAGCAUGUUUUGCACGAGGAAUUCUAGAUGAUGACCAGGUGUUCAUUGACAGUCUGGUUGAUGCGAGUCAAUUCUGUUUUGGUGAUUUUUUGAGGAAUUUCUUCGCUAUGUUGCUACUAUCUGAUUCACUAUCUAGGCCAAAAUAUGUUUGGGAACAGACGUGGCAUUUGUUAGCAGAAGAUAUUCAACAGAAGAAGAGAAAUGAGUUUGACAAUCAAGGUGUGAUAAAUAAUGAAAUUGCUAAAGUUAUAUCAUAUCCAUUUUCUCAGUUAAAUAAGCAAUGAUUCUAUUUUUUUCUUGACAUUGCCAUUUAUUUUAUAUGCAGAUUUGAAUCUGACAGAGGCAGAAUUUAGGAACUACACUCUUCAAGAACUAGAAAAAAUGAUGUUGUCUAAUGGAGGUACUCUUGAAGAUAUACAAAACUUUCCUAAGCCAACUAGAGAAGGUAUAGAUAAUUCUAACCGUUUGAUUGUUGAUGAAAUGAGGUAUGACCGUACAUCAUUGGCUGAAAAGCAUGCUGAGUGGAUAGAUAUUAUGACACCGGAGCAGAGAGGUGUUUAUGAUGAGAUUACCACUGCAGUAUUCAAUGAUCUAGGUGGAGUGUUUUUUUGUGUAUGGAUUUGGAGGUACAGGAAAAACUUUUAUUUGGAAAACACUUUCAGCUGCUAUUAGAUCUAAAGGAGAUAUAGUUCUAAACGUGGCUUCAAGUGGUAUCGCUUCUUUGUUGUUGGAAGGUGGAAGGACUGCUCAUUCAAGGUUUGCCAUACCUCUUAAACCUGAUAGCAGUUCAGUGUGCAGGAUAAAGCCGAAGUCUGAUCUUGCUGAUCUGAUAAAGAAAGCUUCUCUUAUUAUAUGGGAUGAGGCACCUAUGAUGAGCAAGUGGUGUUUUGAAUCUCUAGAUAAGAGUUUUUGUGAUAUCAUUGGUAAUAAAGAUAGCAAAGUAUUUGGUGGAAAGGUUGUUGUCUUUGGAGGUGAUUUUAGACAAGUUCUACCUGUUAUCGCUGGUGCAGGCAGGGCUGAGAUUGUGAUGGCAGCUCUUAAUGCGUCUUAUCUUUGGGAUCACUGUAAGGUUCUAAAGCUUACUAAGAACAUGAGGCUACUUAAGAAGGAUUUGAGUGUAGAAGAAGCAAAAGACAUCAAAGAAUUCAGUGAUUGGCUUCUAGCUGUUGGUGAUGGUAGAAUUGCAGAACCUAAUGAUGGUGAGGCUCUAAUUGAUAUACCUGAAGAACUUCUGAUUACCGAAGCAAAAGAUCCAAUUGAAUCCAUUACUCGUGAGAUAUAUGGAGAUCCAGCCAUGUUAAAAGGUACUGAAGAUCCAGUAUUUUUUCAAAAGAGAGCAAUUCUGGCGCCAACCAAUGAUGAUGUACACACAAUCAACCAAUAUAUGUUAGACAAGUUGGAGGGUGAGUCAUAGCUUACUAGCUUUGUGAAAUUAUUUCCUUCAAGUCUUUCUUACAGCUAAAAGGUUUUUUUUUUUAUUUUUUCAACAGGUGAUGAGCAAGUUUUUUACAGUGCUGAUAGUAUUGAUCCUGAAGAUUCCGAUUCACUUAAAAAUCCUGUUAUCACACCAGAUUUCUUAAACAGUAUCAGGCUACCAGGUUUGCCACACCAUGCUUUGCGUCUGAAGAUUGGUGCUCCAAUAAUGUUACUCAGGAAUAUUGAUCCUAAAGGUGGUCUAUGCAACGGUACUCGGCUUCAGGUAACUCAGAUGACCCCACGUGUUCUUCAAGCAAGAGUUAUAACCGGAGACAGAAUUCGUGAUAUUGUUUUGAUUUCAUUAAUCAAUAUUACACCAUCCGAUACAAAGCUACCUUUUCGGAUGCGUAGAAGACAGUUCCCAGUAUCACUAGCAUUUGCUAUGACUAUCAACAAGAGUCAGGGACAAUCACUAGAGAGGGUUGGACUCUAUCUGCCUAAGCCAGUGUUUUCUCAUGGGCAACUAUAUGUUGCUUUAUCUAGGGUUACCUCAAAGACAGGUUUGAAAAUUCUGAUUCUAGACAAAGAAGGGAAGAUUCAAAAGCAAACAACUAAUGUUGUUUUCAAAGAAGUUUUUCAGAAUAUUGACUCAUAAUGCUUCUUGCAUUAUUUGUCAAACAAUCUUAUCAAAUAAGGUAUGUUUAGUUUACCAUUUUAUUUUAUAAUAUAAUUGCUUUAUGGUAAGCAAAACCCCCAGUCAAUCAAUCAUAUAUUUGACUAACAAUCUACUUACCUUUUCACAGAUUCAAUGUCUCAUGGUUCAAAAGAAAGUAACAACCAAUCAAUCGACUUUCAAUUCCAGUUAUUGUGCUAACUAUAUUUGACUUCUUUAAACACUCUUACUUUCGUCAUAUUUGGUUAUGUCUUUCUUUUUAUGUAUUGAAUAAAGUACCAAUCAAUCAAGCAGAUGCACAAUCAUUUAGUUUUCUCAUUUUCACUCAAUUUAUCUUAGCUUAACAUUAAUGAAAAUGUUGUAGAUGUUUAUAAAUUACAUUUCAGUGAGAAGAAAGUGUAAACUAACCUUGCAUAGAUGCGGAUGUAGAUUUGAUUCUCCUUUGUUUCAGAUUUUUGUCCUGAUGCUUCUGAUGGUAGAAGCUUCCUAUUUAAUAUACAGCAAGGGUUAGAUACUUCAAAAUAAUCAUCAGAAAGUCCUUUAUGCCGCCCAAAAUCACUAACUGUACUCUUACCUUCUCUUCAUUUUUUGAUCUGCUUAUGCUAAGUUGAGGAGUUUAUAACUUUCAAUUAGUCGGAUUCUAUGUUAAUUCCUAGACAAACACACAUUAAUCGAUUAGCAAAUCAGUACAGUUGCUAUGUCAUUCAAAGUUUAGCUGUGCUCAGAACACUGAAAAUCAUUUGAGUUACAAACUAUUGAAUAUACUAUUGUCAGAAUAAGAAUUGAACUUACAGUUUCAGCUCGCUUGAAUAAGAGGUCCCAGAAGCAAGUUCCGAUAACCCUCGAUUCCAAUUGCUGCUUGAUCUUAUCCAAGCUGUUAUCAGUAGCAUCAACAAUCCUCUACGCAUUUUCCGAAAUUGACAAAAUGGAGAAGUUUAAGACUGUCAAUUAGAAAAGGAGCCAAAAUAAAGAUACUAAAUUGUAGCAGACAGAUAUCGAGUGAGAAAGAUACCGGAGAAGCGCCGUUCGAAGCCAUGUUAAUUGGGAUCGACGAUUAAGGAAAGAUCUAUGGUCGAUUAAAGGUGAAUAAUCGCUGAUUGAUUGAUCGAGAGAAGAAGUGGUGUUAAGGUUUUGUUUGGUUUAGGUUUUGAGCUGAAGAAGACGAGAUUAAAGAAGAAGGAGAAGAAGAUGAAGAAAAUGGAGAAGAAGAUGAAGAAAAUGGAGAAGAAGAAGUUAGGUUGAUUGUGUUUCGCGGAAUUGAAAAUGACCCGUCUUCACUGUACCAACGAGAUCAAGUCUGUGUUAACCGGCCGGUACGUUACCGGAUCAGAUCAACUAAUCCGACCGGUUCUUUUGCAUUUUUUUUUUUUGCCCAGUAACAUUAAAGGACUUUGUUGUCUACAGCCCAGCAUGUAUGAGAGGUUACCUUAUUUUGUAUUAACAUGUUAAUUAUGUUAUUAAGUUCAAUAUAUAUCAUGCAAACUAAUUAAUUAAAACAUAUUAUUAUCUCAAACAAUCAGUUUUUGCAUAUGAAAAAAACUAUUCACAGCCAUAUUUACAUGAUCAAAAAUUAAUUUUUCCUUAAUAAAAUCAAACUAUCGUGCAAUUUAUAUUGAUUAAAAUUAUUUUAAUCCUUCACAUCUAAAUAAAUCAUAUAAUACAAGAUAUCUAAAAUCUGAGAAUUAUAUUACCAAUGCAAACAGAUUGACAUUUAACAUAUAAAAGCCAAAUGCACAUAUAUGAAAAUUAAUCUUACAGUUGAAACAAGUUGUAUGUUUACACAUUACCAAACUUUUAAAAAAUAAAUAAUUAUGUAGUAUCAAUUAGACGAUUAAUAUAAAAGGAAAUAAUUUUUAUGUAACACAUAUGACUCGAUUAAAACAUGUUAUACACAAAUAAUAUCGAUAACUUAUAACACAAUCCCAACUAUAAUACAUAAAUAUAUAUAUAUCACCACAAAAAAAAAUCAAAAUAAAAUAAAACCAAUUAUUAUUGUAUUAUUAAAUAACAAAUAAUAAAAAUAUUCAACUCGCGGUGUACCGCGGGUAACAAUCUAGUUUCUUAAUAUUUUUAAAUAUCUUGUGUUUAUAUGUCUUUUAAAGAAGAUUGUGUUUUACUGUUUAACAUGUUAAUAUUGUUCGUUUCUACAAUUUCCUUACUAAAAAUACCUUAAUCUUUGUGUUUGAUAUCAUGGAUUUAAUAGGUAUUUAACAAGGGAACUACUAACUUUUUCAUGUAUGUUAUGUGAAGGUCGGUAUAAUUCUUGUUGCUCAGUUUGUUGGAGACACAUUAUUUCAUCUACGGCAUAUAAUAUGCAAAAUCACUUAUAAAUGUUUCAUUCAUUAUACAUUUUUCUACUAUUGAUGAAAUAAGUAUGAAGAUAAAAAUAAAUAUGAACUGUCUAAGUUAUUAAGCAUGCAAAAGACAAGAAAAAUGUUUCUCUUUAGUUCAAGAAGAAGACUUUUUAAACCAAGUGAUUGUAAUGGUCCUCAUGGAAGUGAUAAUAACAAAAGAACCAGUGGAUUUAGUAGGGAUGGACAGGGAUCUGAUACCCUAGAAUUUUGAGUUACCCAAAUAUGAUCCGUAAAACGACUACUCGGAUCCUGAUCCGCUAAUGUCUUUAAGUAUCCAGAUCCGACACAAAUAGCUAAAAUACAUAUAUAUAUAUAUUGAAAAAAUAAACUAUAAUAGAAAAUAUAAUAGAAAUUGUUCAUAAUGAGUUUUAAAUACUUUAGGACAUAUUUACUAUGUUCGUUCGAAAAACACACCAAUUUUAAUAUAGAGUUUAUUUUUGGUGAUAUAUUAAACAAUUUUACUGUUUAUUAGUAUAAAAUUAAUAUAAAUCUUCUUCAUAUAAAUUUCAUAAAAUUAUAUAUAAAACACAGAUUCGGGUAUACUAACCUUACAAUUAAAAAUACCUAGAGUGGAUUGAUUAGAUCUUCGAUCAGAUCUCAGAUCCCGAAUAUUUUGCCUAACCUUACCAUAGAAUCAAAAGAAAACUAUUAGAUCAAAUUGAGUAUUAUCUUGAAUCGAAAAACGAAAAAUUUUGGUUACAACAAUUUAUCUAGCAAGCUUACUACAUCGUUUCAUAUAAAUCUAGAAAUAAAAUGAACGAAACUAAUGGAAUAAACUAAUUUUUGCAUUAUAGGAGAUACUUGUUCAAAAAAAAUAUUAUCUUGAUUUUACUAGAAUAAAAACCGAGAUCUAAGACUGAAAUAAAUUUGAAUAGGUGAUACGAGUUCAAUACAAAGAUUACCUGGAUUUUUUAACGAUAAUAAAAAUCAAGAUCUAAGACUUGGAUAUUGAAAUGUUCAUUUAUGAUUUAGUAAAUCCAAUCUUAAUUCAAUUUCAUAAACGAAACAACUUACAAUUGAUAAUCUUGAAGACAAACUACUAUAUUGCAAAACUUGACUAUCGAUUAACAAGUAUAUGAAAAUUUGAGAUUAGAGAAGAAAGUUACCUUCAAAUCUUUCAUGACUUUCUCGAUUAGAUGAAGUAUGACCGAUUUCUUUAUACUUUUCAUAAAAUGUUUAGAUGGAUUUGAAAUUUGCU